Molecule: ribosomal RNA, 754 nt
Filed under: Fuscopannaria sp. Spribille 25117 (CANL)
Lineage: Eukaryota; Fungi; Ascomycota; Lecanoromycetes; Peltigerales; Pannariaceae
Description: SSU rRNA
Rfam family: Eukaryotic small subunit ribosomal RNA
Source: RNAcentral
AUUAAUCAGUUAUCGUUUAUUUGAUAGUACCCUCUACUUGGAUACCUGUGGCAAUUCUAGAGCUAAUACAUAGCUAAAAACCCCGACUUCGGAAGGGGUGUAUUUAUUAGAUAAAAAACCAAUGCCCUUCGGGGCUCCAUGGUGAAUCAUAAUAACUUAACGAAUCGCAUGGCCUUGCGCCGGCGAUGGUUCAUUCAAAUUUCUGCCCUAUCAACUUUCGAUGGUACGGUAGUGGCCUACCAUGGUUUCUACGGGUAACGGGGAAUUAGGGUUCGAUUCCGGAGAGGGAGCCUGAGAAACGGCUACCACAUCCAAGGAAGGCAGCAGGCGCGCAAAUUACCCAAUCCCGACACGGGGAGGUAGUGACAAUAAAUACUGAUGUGGAGCUCUUUUGGGUUUCGCAAUUGGAAUGAGUACAAUUUAAAUCCCUUAACGAGGAACAAUUGGAGGGCAAGUCUGGUGCCAGCAGCCGCGGUAAUUCCAGCUCCAAUAGCGUAUAUUAAAGUUGUUGCAGUUAAAAAGCUCGUAGUUGAAACUUGGGUUUGGUUGACCGGUCCGCCUCACCGCGUGCACUGGUUCGACCGAACCUUUCCUUGUGGGGAGCCGCAUGCCCUUCAUUGGGUGUGUCGGGGAACCACGACUUUUACUUUGAAAAAAUUAGAGUGUUCAAAGCAGGCUUAAGCUCGGAUACAUUAGCAUGGAAUAAUAGAAUAGGACGUUGGUUCUAUUUUGUUGGUUUCUAGGACCGCCGUAA